UUGAACGCUGGCGGCAGGCUAAGACAUGCAAGUCGAACGGUAACGACACUAGCUUGCUAGUGGUCGACGAGUGGCGGACGGGUGAGUAACGCGUAGGAAUCUACCUAGUAGUGGGGGAUAGCCAAGGGAAACUUUGGGUAAUACCGCAUACGAUCUAAGGAUGAAAGGGGGCCUCUCUUUGAAGCUCUCGCUAUUAGAUGAGCCUGCGUAAGAUUAGCUUGUUGGUGGGGUAAUGGCUCACCAAGGCGACGAUCUUUAGCUGGUCUGAGAGGAUGAUCAGUCACACUGGAACUGAGACACGGUCCAGACUCCUACGGGAGGCAGCAGUCGGGAAUAUUGGACAAUGGGGGAAACCCUGAUCCAGCCAUGCCGCGUGUGUGAAGAAGGCCCUAGGGUUGUAAAGCACUUUUAGUAGUGAGGAAGGCUCGGUAGUUAAUACCUACCGGGAUUGACGUUAGCUACAGAAAAAGCACCGGCUAAUUUCGUGCCAGCAGCCGCGGUAAUACGAAAGGUGCAAGCGUUAAUCGGAAUUACUGGGCGUAAAGCGCGCGUAGGCGGCUUGGUAAGUUGGAUGUGAAAGCCCCGGGCUCAACCUGGGAACUGCAUCCAAAACUGCCUAGCUAGAGUAUGGUAGAGGAUGGCGGAAUUUCCUGUGUAGCGGUGAAAUGCGUAGAUAUAGGAAGGAACAUCAGUGGCGAAGGCGGCCAUCUGGACCAAUACUGACGCUGA
This 729-nucleotide ribosomal RNA is filed under the name gamma proteobacterium IMCC14273. Its description in RNAcentral is "bacterial SSU rRNA". It matches the Rfam family "Bacterial small subunit ribosomal RNA", at positions 29 to 749 of the family's 1533-position model. The record is from RNAcentral. Lineage: Bacteria; Pseudomonadati; Pseudomonadota; Gammaproteobacteria.